This is an RNA transcript of Lagenorhynchus albirostris (white-beaked dolphin), 3760 nucleotides long. It is a transcript of the gene named protein inhibitor of activated STAT 3, with no coding region annotated. The transcript has 18 exons. Lineage: Eukaryota; Metazoa; Chordata; Mammalia; Artiodactyla; Delphinidae. The record is from RefSeq and is a predicted model, not a curated record.
GCCCCAGCCCCAGCGCUGGGCCGGGCGGAGCUCCCGCCCAGGCGGAGCUGCGGCUGCAGCGUCCAGCUGCCGGACCGACCUCCAGCCGGGCAGACUGCGGGAGCGGCGCCGGGCCCCCUCCCCCCACCUCUCCAGCCCACCCUCUGAGCCUCCCGAGCCCCCUCCCCGCUCCCUGCAACUGUGCUGCACAUGGUGAUGAGUUUCCGGGUGUCUGAGCUCCAGGUGCUCCUCGGCUUCGCUGGCCGGAACAAGAGUGGACGGAAGCACGAGCUCCUGGCCAAGGCCCUGCACCUCCUCAAGUCCAGCUGUGCCCCCAGCGUCCAGAUGAAGAUCAAAGAGCUUUACCGCCGACGCUUUCCCCGGAAGACCCUGGGGCCCUCUGAUCUUUCUCUGCUCUCUCUGCCCCCUGGCACCCCUCCUGUAGGCUCUCCUGGUCCUCUAGCUCCCAUCCCCCCAGCCCUCUUGGCCCCUGGCACCCUGCUGGGCCCCAAGCGUGAAGUGGACAUGCACCCCCCUCUGCCCCAGCCUGUGCACCCUGAUGUCACCAUGAAACCAUUGCCCUUCUAUGAAAUCUACGGGGAGCUCAUCCGGCCCACCACCCUUGCAUCCACUUCUAGCCAGCGGUUUGAGGAAGCGCACUUCACCUUUGCCCUCACUCCCCAGCAAGUGCAGCAGAUUCUCACAUCCAGAGAGGUUCUGCCAGGAGCGAAAUGUGAUUAUACCAUACAGGUGCAGCUAAGGUUCUGUCUCUGUGAGACCAGCUGCCCCCAAGAGGAUUACUUCCCCCCCAACCUCUUUGUCAAGGUCAAUGGGAAACUGUGCCCCCUGCCGGGUUACCUUCCCCCUACCAAGAAUGGGGCUGAGCCCAAGAGGCCCAGCCGCCCCAUCAACAUCACACCCCUGGCUCGACUCUCGGCCACUGUUCCCAACACCAUCGUGGUCAACUGGUCGUCUGAGUUUGGACGGAAUUACUCCUUGUCUGUGUACCUGGUGAGGCAGCUGACUGCAGGAACCCUUCUACAAAAACUCAGAGCAAAGGGCAUCCGGAACCCAGACCAUUCCCGGGCACUGAUCAAGGAGAAGCUGACCGCUGACCCGGACAGUGAGGUGGCCACUACAAGUCUCCGGGUGUCACUCAUGUGCCCGCUAGGGAAGAUGCGCUUGACUGUCCCUUGUCGGGCCCUCACCUGCGCCCACCUGCAGAGCUUCGAUGCUGCCCUUUAUCUACAGAUGAAUGAGAAGAAGCCAACGUGGACGUGUCCUGUGUGUGAUAAGAAGGCUCCCUAUGAAUCUCUUAUCAUUGAUGGUUUAUUCAUGGAGAUUCUUAAUUCCUGCUCGGAUUGUGAUGAGAUCCAGUUCAUGGAAGAUGGAUCCUGGUGCCCAAUGAAACCCAAGAAGGAGGCAUCUGAGGUUUGCCCCCCGCCAGGGUAUGGGCUGGAUGGCCUCCAGUAUAGCCCAGUCCAAGAGGGCAAUCCAUCAGAGAAUAAGAAGAAGGUUGAAGUUAUUGACUUGACAAUAGAAAGCUCAUCAGACGAGGAGGACCUGCCCCCGACGAAGAAGCACUGUCCUGUCACUUCAGCUGCUAUCCCAGCUCUACCUGGAAGCAAAGGAGUCCUGACAUCUGGUCACCAGCCAUCUUCGGUGCUACGGAGCCCUGCUAUGGGCACGCUGGGCGGGGAUUUCCUGUCCAGUCUCCCACUACAUGAGUACCCACCUGCCUUCCCACUGGGGGCUGAUAUACAAGGUUUAGAUUUAUUUUCUUUCCUUCAGACUGAGAGUCAGCACUAUGGUCCAUCCGUCAUCACCUCGCUAGACGAACAGGAUGCCCUGGGCCACUUCUUCCAGUACCGAGGAACCCCUUCCCACUUCCUGGGCCCGCUAGGCCCCACGUUGGGGAGCUCUCACCGCAGCACCACUCCGGCACCCCCUCCUGGCCGUGUCAGUAGCAUUGUGGCCCCUGGGGGAAACUUAAGGGAGGGGCAUGGAGGACCCCUGCCCUCAGGUCCCUCUUUGACUGGCUGUCGGUCAGACAUCAUUUCCCUGGACUGAGUCCCCUGGAUCAUGGAGCCUUCACCGCCUCGCAACACUGAGCAAGUAUGCUGUGGAGUCUGGAACCCUGGCCCCUCUGACCCAUCAGAAGGGCUUUGGUCAAGGCCAGAAAGAUCUUCAUGGACACCUGUUUUUGGCCUUAUCUCUGCCUGACAAGGCUAGCACCCAAAGGGAAAAUGAUCCCCAGACGGAAUGAUUUCUGGAUUCACGUGUCAUCUCCCACCAGCCAUGGGCGGAACGAUAAGCACCCCUCCAUGGCACUCUGCACACCUAUCUGGUAUAGCAGAGCUGGAUACAGUUUGUUUGGGGUUCAGAAUGUUUGCUUCAGGAGUUCCUCUCAUCCUAGGUCAGCUCUGUUGGUUGGUGAUUACUGUUACCUGGAGUGAUAUGAAAUUUUCUGAGAGCAUUUUAUAAAGCAUAUCCUUUGCCUCCUUUGCUGGAAUCAUUGCAAAGUCUUCUACCUGUUUCUGCUCCAGGUGUUUCUUUUGUAAAACUAAACGGAAUAUUCUGGCACAGCGAGACCCAAAUCUGUAAAGGAAUAAAGAAAGCAAAUGGCAUGCCGACGUAGAUUAGCUUUAGCUCUUAGUCACAGACGGUGCUUGUUCGGUUUCCACGUGUGGAGACAGGACCAGAGAGGAACAGCAAUCAGAGAAUUCCUUCAUAACUCCACAGACUGAUGACAAUACUGCUAAUCAUAAGAGUCACCAACUGCUGACUCACCUGAAUGCCUCAGUUCCUGCAUUUUUCACGCUGCCUGACUGUAAGGAAAUAACCACCCAUAAGGAUACUGAUGACAUACAUUCCUCCACCACUGUCGCCAGACUUUCCAACAAACUCAAGCUAUUAAAAAAAAGGAAAAAAAAAAAAAAGAGAGCUUGUGUUAUUUGAAUGGAAAGUCCAGUGAUCCUGUUUUCAAAAGAGCAAAUCUGGCCAAGAGUCUGCAGCAGGAAGCCCUCCUAUCAGAUGAUGGUAGAAAAUUGUCUGAGCUGGCUAGGUAGAGAAUGAGGCUACAGAAGACUGAUAGCAGGCAAAAAUUAAUCGUAAAUACAGCAGAAAAAAGAAAGAAAAGACUUACUGGAUCAUCUGCCAGCAGAGUGAGAUACUGAUCAAGAACUUGCUUAGAGAUGUUAUAGCCAACAGGGCUUCCCUGGUGGCGCAGUGGUUGAGAAUCUGCCUGCCAAUGCAGGGGACACGGGUUUGAGCCCUGGUCUGGGAAGAUCCCACGUGCUGCGGAACAACUGGGCCUGUGAGCCACAACUACUGAGCCUGCGCGUCUGGAGCCUGUGCUCCGCAACAAGAGAGGCCGAGAUAGUGAGAGGCCCGCGCACCGCGAUGAAGAGUGGCCCCCGCUUGCCACAACUAAAGAAAGCCCUCACACAGAAACGAAGACCCAACACAGCCGUAAAUAAAUAAAUAAAUAAAUAAAUAAAUAUCUACAUUUAUGUGAGACUAUACAUAUAAAAAAGUCUGAAUAAAGAUAUGUACCAAACUACUGACAAGGAUCUCUGGGGCUGGGAUUAUGGGAUUAUGCAAAACUAUGUAUUUAUUUAAACUGGGGUAUGUUACAUACAAGAAGCACAGAUUUUAAGGGUACAGUUUGAUGAGUAUUGACAAUUGUAUAUACCCACAUAACUACCAUCUACAAGAUAUAGAACAUGCCUGGCAUUCCUGAAAGUUUGGGGAGCUACAAGUUUAAAAAAAUUAUACAUUU